CAACAAGUAAACCAAACGCACAAAAGCCCUUCGACCUUUCUGCUCCUUCUCGCGGUCGUCAUAAGCAUAGAUGAGGUCCUUGAGCUGGGCCCCACGGAGCUGUCCCGUACGGACACCAAGGACAAAGCUGAUAGCAUCCAUUAAGUUAGACUUGCCAGCGCCAUUGGGGCCAAUUAUGGCAGUGAAGUCCUUAAAAGGACCAAUUGUUUGGAGACCCUUGUAAGACUUGAAAUUCUCCAUCUCUAAUUGGAGGAUCUUGCCGGAGGAGAUCAUUGAGGGCAUGAUUUUGGAGAGAGAGAUGGAGAGCUAGGGUUUUGAGUUCGAAAUGUUUUGGAGGGAAGAUUCAAAAAGGAUGAAGAAGCUAGGGUUUGACAGAGUAGAACAGUUGAUUUCUUCGCUGGUUGCAGUGCAAAAGAGUGGUUUUGC
RNAcentral lists this long non-coding RNA (426 nucleotides) under Manihot esculenta (cassava). RNAcentral's name for it is "long non-coding RNA (MESC_LNC006945)". Lineage: Eukaryota; Viridiplantae; Streptophyta; Magnoliopsida; Malpighiales; Euphorbiaceae. The record is from RNAcentral.